This is a non-coding RNA of Sciurus carolinensis (gray squirrel), 439 nucleotides long. NCBI's taxonomy places the organism in Eukaryota, Metazoa, Chordata, Mammalia, Rodentia, Sciuridae. The record is from the annotation of a RefSeq genome assembly.
CCCCUCCCAGUGCAGAGCCCUAAAAUUGAAGAAGAAAAAGAUACUUUGCAUCUAGAGGAAGAACACCAACAUGGUGCUGUCCAGGCUGCUGAAGCUGGUCAUGGCAUCAAUGUGGCUGGGAUCCAGUUUUUCCCAGAAGGUAACUCAGGCCCAGCCAGCCGUGUGGGUACAGGAGAAAGAGGCUGUGAGCCUGCACUGCACCUAUGACACCAGUGCUGGAAAUUAUGAUCUACUCUGGUACAAGCAGCCCAGCAGUGGGGAGAUGGUCUUCCUUAUCCUUCAGAACUCUUACAGCCAGAAAAAUGCCACAAAAGGUCGCUACUCACUGAUUUUGCAGAAAGCAAGCAAAUCCAUCCAACUUGUCAUACCAGCCUCACAGCUGGGGGACUCAGCGGUGUAUUUCUGUGCACUGAGAGAUGACACAGUGGGAGAACUGUAG